Molecule: ribosomal RNA, 587 nt
Filed under: uncultured Xylariales
Lineage: Eukaryota; Fungi; Ascomycota; Sordariomycetes; Xylariales
Description: eukaryotic LSU rRNA
Rfam family: 5.8S ribosomal RNA (bases 211-364)
Source: RNAcentral
GCUCGUGGUGACAGCGGAGGGAUCAUUAAAGAGUUAUUACAACUCCCAAACCCAUGUGAACCUACCUUUGUUGCCUCGGCGGGUCCGCAGCUUACCCUGUGAGACCCUACCCUGUAGGGACCUUACCCUGUAGUUGCAGGUAAAACCUGCCGGUGGUCUACUAAACUCUGUUUACUAUGUUAUUCUGAAUACUAUAACUAAAUAAGUUAAAACUUUCAACAACGGAUCUCUUGGUUCUGGCAUCGAUGAAGAACGCAGCGAAAUGCGAUAAGUAAUGUGAAUUGCAGAAUUCAGUGAAUCAUCGAAUCUUUGAACGCACAUUGCGCCCAUUAGUAUUCUAGUGGGCAUGCCUGUUCGAGCGUCAUUUCAACCCUUAAGCCCCUGUUGCUUAGCGUUGGGAGCCUACAGAAAUCCUCUGUAGUUCCUUAAAGCUAGUGGCGGAGUCGGUUUCAUACUCUAGACGUAGUAAAUUUUAUCUCGCCUAUAGAUGAGCCGGUCCCCUGCCGUAAAACCCCCUAAUUUCUAAAGGUUGACCUCGGAUCAGGUAGGAAUACCCGCUGAACUUAAGCAUAUCAAUAAGCGGAGAA